Molecule: non-coding RNA, 679 nt
Organism: Lupinus albus (white lupine)
Lineage: Eukaryota; Viridiplantae; Streptophyta; Magnoliopsida; Fabales; Fabaceae
Source: the annotation of a GenBank genome assembly
AUGGAGCUUAAUGGCAUAUAAAAGAAGCAUAGAAGGGACAGUGUUAAAGGGUCCUCACCCUUCACACUACUCCUUUCAUAUGGAAAAGUUUUCUGUAUAACAGAAGAAAGGAAGAAGAGAAGCUAGCAAUGUUCAAAGGAGUAGAAGAGGCUUUUGGCUACAGCUUGGCAAACCGGCAAGUCAGAAAAAGGCAAUGGAUUCCAUUAGGAUCCACUUGCGAGUUGAGUUUUGGAGGAGAAUGAAAGGAAAUAGAAAAAUAGAAGACUUUAGAGUUAUCUCAUAGUAUAUUUUAUGGUUCUAAAACCUUCUAUUUCAUUUUAUUUCUCUCCAAAAUCUAACUCGCGAUUAAUCAUGUAUCACUUUAUUUUAAUUUUUCAUGUUGUAGAAAGUAAGGAUGAAAUAUACUAUUGUUUAUGUUUGGUGUGAGUUCUCUUUUCUGUGUGUUUUCUCUUCCCCAUUAGGAGUCCUUUUUUCGGGUCUGUUAUGACCUUACAAGCAAUAAAAUAAUAACAUGUUAGAUUUAUGUUUUAAAUGGAGGCUGUUGUUGUAAUUAUGAUUAUAUCAUUGUAACUUUGUAAGUGUGAUUAUUGUAGUACUAAUUACCUAGAGUUAAUAUUUUUUGUGAUUGAAGAUUUGUUUUUAAAUAUGGUAUGGUUUGAUAGAUCCCGAUGCAAUACUA